GAUGAACGCUGGCGGCGUGCCUAAUACAUGCAAGUCGAGCGAACGGACGAGAAGCUUGCUUCUCUGAUGUUAGCGGCGGACGGGUGAGUAACACGUGGAUAACCUACCUAUAAGACUGGGAUAACUUCGGGAAACCGGAGCUAAUACCGGAUAAUAUUUUGAACCGCAUGGUUCAAAAGUGAAAGACGGUCUUGCUGUCACUUAUAGAUGGAUCCGGGCUGCAUUAGCUAGUUGGUAAGGUAACGGCUUACCAAGGCAACGAUGCGUAGCCGACCUGAGAGGGGUAUCAGGCAAAACGGAACCUGAACACGGGCCAGACUCCUAAGGGAAGCAGCAGUUGGGAAUUUUUCCCAAUGGGCGAAAGGCUGAACGAGGCAAGGCGCGUGUGUGAAUAAGGUCUUCGGAUUGUAAAACCCUUUUAGUUGGGAAGAAAGAUAGGUGUAAGAAACUGUGCAGUUUUGACGUGAACCAAAUAAGAAGGCCCGGCUAACCUCGUG
Molecule: ribosomal RNA, 497 nt
Filed under: uncultured bacterium
Lineage: Bacteria
Description: partial 16S ribosomal RNA
Rfam family: Bacterial small subunit ribosomal RNA
Source: RNAcentral